This 346-nucleotide ribosomal RNA is filed under the name Photinus collustrans. RNAcentral's name for it is "partial 12S ribosomal RNA". Lineage: Eukaryota; Metazoa; Arthropoda; Insecta; Coleoptera; Lampyridae. The record is from RNAcentral.
UAGAACCUAAAUUGAAAAAUCUUGAUUAGUAUUAGUUAUGUUCUUAAAAAUUAAAAAAUUUGGCGGUAUUUUAUUCAAUUCAGAGGAACCUGUUUUUUAAUUGAUAGUCCACGAUAAGAUUAACUUAUUUUUUUAGUUUGUAUAUCGUUGUUUAGAAUUUCUUUUUUGAGAUAAUUUUCAAUUGUUUAAAUUUAAAUAGACUUCAGAUCAAGGUGCAGCUUAUAAUUAAGAAUUAAUGGGUUACGUUAAAAUUAUAUUUGGUUAUUUAUUUUUAAUUUUAAAUAUAAAUAGGAUUUGAAAGUAAUUAAAAGAAUUUUCUUUUUAUGACUAAUGUUUUAAAAUAUGU